This is a small nuclear RNA of Cryptomeria japonica (Japanese cedar), 196 nucleotides long. RefSeq annotates it as U2 spliceosomal RNA. NCBI's taxonomy places the organism in Eukaryota, Viridiplantae, Streptophyta, Pinopsida, Cupressales, Cupressaceae. The transcript has a single exon. The record is from RefSeq and is a predicted model, not a curated record.
AUACCUUUCUCGGCCUUUUGGCUAAGAUCAAGUGUAGUAUCUGUUCUUAUCAGUUUAAUAUCUGAUACGUGGUUCAAUGAACCACACGAUAUUAAAUUAAUUUUUUCAGGGGGAAAAGUCCAAAAGAUAGCUUGCUAUCAGGACCUUCGAGCGUCGCUUCUGUAUUGCACUACAGCAGAAGCCUGGCGCACCCCAC